Molecule: ribosomal RNA, 460 nt
Filed under: uncultured bacterium
Lineage: Bacteria
Description: partial 16S ribosomal RNA
Rfam family: Bacterial small subunit ribosomal RNA
Source: RNAcentral
CCUACGGGCGGCAGCAGUGAGGAAUAUUGGUCAAUGGGCGCGAGCCUGAACCAGCCAAGUCGCGUGAAGGAUGACUGCCCUACGGGUUGUAAACUUCUUUUAUAAAGGAAUAAAGUGAGGCACGCGUGCCUUUUUGUAUGUACUUUAUGAAUAAGGAUCGGCUAACUCCGUGCCAGCAGCCGCGGUAAUACGGAGGAUCCGAGCGUUAUCCGGAUUUAUUGGGUUUAAAGGGAGCGUAGAUGGGUUGUUAAGUCAGUUGUGAAAGUUUGCGGCUCAACCGUAAAAGUGCAAUUGAUACUGGCAGCCUUGAGUACAGUAGAGGUAGGCGGAAUUCGUGGUGUAGCGGUGAAAUGCAUAGAUAUCACGAAGAACUCCGAUUGCGAAGGCAGCUUACUAACCUGCCACUGACAUUGAUGCUCGAAAGUGUGGGUAUCGAACAGGAUUAGAUACCCCAGUAGUC